AUGAACGCUGGCGGCGUGCCUAAUACCUGCCAGUCGAGCGAACAGACGAGGAGCUUGCUCCUCUGACGUUAGCGGCGGACGGGUGAGUAACACGUGGAUAACCUACCUAUAAGACUGGGAUAACUUCGGGAAACCGGAGCUAAUACCGGAUAAUAUUUUGAACCGCAUGGUUCCAUAGUGAAAGACGGUUUUGCUGUUACUUAUAGAUGGAUCCGCGCCGCAUUAGCUAGUUGGUAAGGUAACGGCUUACCAAGGCAACGAUGCGUAGCCGACCUGAGAGGGUGAUCGGCCACACUGGAACUGAGACACGGUCCAGACUCCUACGGGAGGCAGCAGUAGGGAAUCUUCCGCAAUGGGCGAAAGCCUGACGGAGCAACGCCGCGUGAGUGAUGAAGGUCUUCGGAUCGUAAAACUCUGUUAUUAGGGAAGAACAAAUGUGUAAGUAACUAUGCACGUCUUGACGGUACCUAAUCAGAAAGCCACGGCUAACUACGUG
This 496-nucleotide ribosomal RNA is filed under the name uncultured bacterium. Its description in RNAcentral is "partial 16S ribosomal RNA". It matches the Rfam family "Bacterial small subunit ribosomal RNA", at positions 29 to 507 of the family's 1533-position model. The record is from RNAcentral.